UCCGCCUUGGAGGCGGCAGUCUCCCAUGAAAAAUCAACAUAGGAUGAGGGUUGCGCUCGUUCGCUGACUUAACAGUACACCUCAAGGCACGAGCUGACGACGACCGUGCAUCGCCUGUCUCUAGGUUCCUUGCGGCACCCCGACCUUUCGGCCAGGUUCCUAGGAUGUCAAGUCUGGGUGAGGUUCUCCGUUUAUUAUCGAAUUAAACCCCAUGCUCCACCGCUUGUGUGGGUCCCCGUCUAUUCCUUUGAGUUUUAGCCUUGCGGCCGUACUUCCCAGGCGGUGGGCUUACCGCGUUAGCUGAGGCACAGGAACCAAUUGAUAAAGUUCCUACACCGAGCCCACAUAGUUUAGGGCGUGGACUA
RNAcentral lists this unclassified non-coding RNA (365 nucleotides) under uncultured bacterium. Its description in RNAcentral is "contains 16S-23S intergenic spacer region". The record is from RNAcentral.